CAUUUUUCAGACCAUUGUCCAU
This 22-nucleotide non-coding RNA is filed under the name Arabidopsis thaliana (thale cress). Lineage: Eukaryota; Viridiplantae; Streptophyta; Magnoliopsida; Brassicales; Brassicaceae. The record is from RNAcentral.